UGGCGGCAUGCUUUACACAUGCAAGUCGAACGGCAGCACGGAAGAGCUUGCUCUUUUGGUGGCGAGUGGCGAACGGGUGAGUAAUACAUCGGAACGUACCGAGUAGUGGGGGAUAACUGUCCGAAAGGAUGGCUAAUACCGCAUAUUCUCUGAGGAGGAAAGCAGGGGACCUUCGGGCCUUGCGCUAUUUGAGCGGCCGAUGUCUGAUUAGCUAGUUGGUGGGGUAAAGGCCUACCAAGGCGACGAUCAGUAGCGGGUCUGAGAGGAUGAUCCGCCACACUGGGACUGAGACACGGCCCAGACUCCUACGGGAGGCAGCAGUGGGGAAUUUUGGACAAUGGGGGGAACCCUGAUCCAGCCAUGCCGCGUGUCUGAAGAAGGCCUUCGGGUUGUAAAGGACUUUUGUCAGGGAAGAAAAGCUUGAGGUUAAUACCCUUGGGUGAUGACGGUACCUGAAGAAUAAGCACCGGCUAACUACGUGCCAGCAGCCGCGGUAAUACGUAGGGUGCGAGCGUU
This 516-nucleotide ribosomal RNA is filed under the name Neisseria animaloris. RNAcentral describes it as "bacterial SSU rRNA". It matches the Rfam family "Bacterial small subunit ribosomal RNA", at positions 37 to 542 of the family's 1533-position model. Lineage: Bacteria; Pseudomonadati; Pseudomonadota; Betaproteobacteria; Neisseriales; Neisseriaceae. The record is from RNAcentral.